GACGAACGCUGGCGGCGCGCCUAAUACAUGCAAGUAGAACGCUGAAGGAGGAGCUUGCUUCUCUGGAUGAGUUGCGAACGGGUGAGUAACGCGUAGGUAACCUGCCUGGUAGCGGGGGAUAACUAUUGGAAACGAUAGCUAAUACCGCAUAAGAGUAGAUGUCGCAUGACAUUUGCUUAAAAGGUGCAAUUGCAUCACUACCAGAUGGACCUGCGUUGUAUUAGCUAGUUGGUGAGGUAACGGCUCACCAAGGCAACGAUACAUAGCCGACCUGAGAGGGUGAUCGGCCACACUGGGACUGAGACACGGCCCAGACUCCUACGGGAGGCAGCAGUAGGGAAUCUUCGGCAAUGGACGGAAGUCUGACCGAGCAACGCCGCGUGAGUGAAGAAGGUUUUCGGAUCGUAAAGCUCUGUUGUAAGAGAAGAACGAGUGUGAGAGUGGAAAGUUCACACUGUGACGGUAUCUUACCAGAAAGGGACGGCUAACUACGUG
This 495-nucleotide ribosomal RNA is filed under the name uncultured bacterium. Its description in RNAcentral is "partial 16S ribosomal RNA". It matches the Rfam family "Bacterial small subunit ribosomal RNA", at positions 28 to 507 of the family's 1533-position model. The record is from RNAcentral.